Long non-coding RNA from Arabidopsis lyrata subsp. lyrata, 1583 nucleotides. RefSeq lists it as uncharacterized. Lineage: Eukaryota; Viridiplantae; Streptophyta; Magnoliopsida; Brassicales; Brassicaceae. The record is from RefSeq and is a predicted model, not a curated record. The transcript is spliced from 4 exons.
AAUGUGUAUGCAUUGUCCUAUGUUAGACACGUACCCAUCUGGAAAUUUUACCACAUCUUUAACCAUUUGAGAAAUCCCAUUUUUGCAUUAGGAGACAGCCUGAAUAUCCACUACAAAAAAUGUGUGUAUUGAUAGAGCACUACACCAUAGCGCGGAUUCCGUAAUUGCUAUUAUAGAUGGUACCCGGAAUUUUGUAACUAUAUCACAGCAUUUUUGAAACGCUAAGACGAAUAACAGCAAAGCGGGAAGCAAAAAUACUUGUGACCGCCAACAAUUUCCCAAAAUAUUAGAUUUAACGCCCACCACUUAACGAAAAAACAAAAAAAACUCUUCUGACUUAGGUCAUAACACUUAACUUCUAAUUUUUUUUUCUAAGUCUUCACUCGUCGUCUUCUUCUCUAGAAAAGCUUCUCUAAUCUCUAAAUCCACACCACUUCCUAGCCACAUACCUUUUCCGUUGACAUGGCCUCGUCUCCUCCGUCUUCCACCGUAUUCUGCCGUUAAAGAGAUGAAUUCGAACAAGAUAAAUUGAAUCGGUAAGGAGAUCGGAAACGAGAUGGUGGUGACAAGAAGGAGAAGAAGUUCGAACGAGCCGCACCACCUGCUCGUGUUGGGAGGAAGCAACAUAAGCAGAAAGGACUUGAAGCGGCGGCUAGAUUCCGACCGUGACUCCUACUAAAUGAAAGCUUUGAUUGCUUAAACUGAAGCGAUUAGUACACAAAUGAUUGGGUCAUGACCCUCUAUUUCCCUGAUUCGGAUAAGUUCAUUCAUCUUUCUUGAUUAGGUUGUUGAAAAUUUAUGUGUGCUUUGAUUUGUUGUUUUGAAAUUGAUUUUAUUCAUUGUACUUCUAAGAGGUUAUGUUUUUAGAGUUCUCUGUGCACACAAGGUGUUUGACGAAUUGACUGUGAGACAGAAACUAAGAAACGACUCUCUCAACAUGUCAACCUAUGAUGAUCUUUCAUGUUUGCUAAUUGAUUGUAAAAAUUACCUUUGCUUUUGUAGUAUAAAAUGGUGGACUAUAUCCUUGGAGUUUCUGAUCCUAUGAAACAGCACUUUGAGGUGAGCAAUAUCUUUUGACUGUAAUUCUUAGUUCAUUAGCUAUUUAAAGCCAAAGAAUUAGAAAAUGAAUUCAGAUCACUAUGCUUCAUGGAUGGUUCACUUUGUGGAGCAAUGCUGGUAUACUUCUCUCCAUAUUCCAUAUUCCAUAUUCUUGCAUUGUUUAUACGGCUUAAUCAAAUACUGAACAUGACAUAAGUUGAUGAUGAUGUCUCGAUGUUCUUGAGUGUUGUGUUUUUUUUGUGGGUUAAAAACAUAUCAAAAGCUUUCUCGAGAAAGUCAAACCAUUCCGUUUAGAUACACCACUUGAAAAUAGAAAGUGCAUCAUCUUUCAAGACGAAUAUGAAGGCACAUGAUUAGAUUAAAAAUAUGUUCACCAUGAACAUGAAUGCUAUCGAGAAGAUGAAACACAUAGAGAAGACGAGACUGAAGUUUGUCUUUAUUAUGUUAGUUUUAUUUUGUUUAAAACUUGCUAUUUCACGUGACAUGUUUAGGAAGAAGAAAUGAAAAAUGAAAAAUGUUUGUUC